Molecule: ribosomal RNA, 496 nt
Filed under: uncultured bacterium
Lineage: Bacteria
Description: partial 16S ribosomal RNA
Rfam family: Bacterial small subunit ribosomal RNA
Source: RNAcentral
AUGAACGCUGGCGGCGUGCCUAAUACAUGCAAGUCGAGCGAACAGACGAGGAGCUUGCUCCUCUGACGUUAGCGGCGGACGGGUGAGUAACACGUGGAUAACCUACCUAUAAGACUGGGAUAACUUCGGGAAACCGGAGCUAAUACCGGAUAAUAUAUUGAACCGCAUGGUUCAAUAGUGAAAGACGGUUUUGCUUUCACUUAUAGCUUGAUCCGCGCCGCAUUAGCUAGUUGGUAAGGUAACGGCUUACCAAGGCAACGAUGCGUAGCCGACCUGAGAGGGUGAUCGGCCACACUGGAACUGAGACACGGUCCAGACUCCUACGGGAGGCAGCAGUAGGGAAUCUUCCGCAAUGGGCGAAAGCCUGACGGAGCAACGCCGCGUGAGUGAUGAAGGUCUUCGGAUCGUAAAACUCUGUUAUUAGGGAAGAACAAAUGUGUAAGUAACUAUGCACGUCUUGACGGUACCUAAUCAGAAAGCCACGGCUAACUACGUG